CAGACUCAAUUAUUUACAGACCGCUGCCAUAUAGCUGGAAUAUUGCUGAGUGCAGCGUAAAACUCAACUCACUCACUCACUCACUCUUAACCACUGUUUCUACUGGUGGUUAAAGGGGCUCAUUGACAUUAAAGGAGCAUCUUGUCAUCCUCCAGGCCAAGGUAUUUUUACAGGUUUGGGUAAAGUUGAGUGUCCAUCCUGACAAUAUUCCACCAUUGUCUGAUGUUGACCCGAUAUUGUUAACAAUGUAAUGUACAAAACAGGAAUAUGCUUCUUAAAAGUUCUGACAUGCAAAUUGUUGCCGUCAGUUAAGAAUGCAGCCAUUACACACACCUCAAUCUAGAAAUGGUUGGUGGGGUAGCCUAGUGGUUAAAGCGUUAGCUCGUUAUGCCGAAGAUCCGGGUUUGAUUCCCCACAUGGGUACAAUGUGUGAAGCCCAUUUCUGGUGUCCCCCACCAUGAUAUUGGUGGAAAUUGCAAAAAGCAGCAUAAAACUAAACUCACUCACUCACUACAAACCAAACCUUGGGAUGCCAGACAAUCUGACAGUUCAUGGAACAGUACCACAAUUACAUGUUUCUGAGUAAACCAACCCAAAUCCAUGUAUGUGAAAUAUUUAGGUUCACACAGUUCAUGAGAAAUGGUGUGAAGUUCACAUUGAAAAUAUGUUCUAUUUUUGCCUGGAUUAUUUGGCAGUGUCUUGAAUGAUCUCUAUAAAAGAUAUUUAAUAAAAAUAAUUUUUUGAAAUAUAAUGCAAUUUUUUUAUGGGCAAAAAAAAGUGUAGCAUAUUGUAUCCAGACUUCAGUGGCCAUAUUCACGUGUCGGGCGUAGCUAACAUCAGGCGUAACACACUACGUCAGGCUUAGCAGCGGCCUGCUUUUACACGUCAUGCACAACGUCGGUUAAGCCUAGGCGUUACUACGACCGACUUACUUAACGGAUUUACGUCCUGGCACCGUUUGCUAUUUUUGGAUUUUCAAACAUUUUUAAACCAACGGGAAGCGGUGCAAAACAUCUUCGCAGCACGUCCGUUUCAGCCGUAAUCACGGAAAGCCAAAGAAAACCGGGAAAAGCAAAUUUAAUUUAUUAAUUAUUAAUAUGUGUAUUCUAAACUGUAAUGACUUUAAUCUGAUGUGUUUCAAGUGCAUUUAAACCUUACUUUACAGUCACGUUUUGUGUGAAAUGAGUAUGAAUUCAAGUUAAUGGUGGAAUUGCGGUUGGAGCCAUAACCAAUAUCACCUCUGAUUGUAUUCACUAUCUUGAAAAUGUCAAUUCUCCUGAUUCUAAAUCUUCUGUACAGAUCAAGGUCGUUGGAUAUUUCUAAAGGGUUUGACCUUUCUCUAAAUAUACGGUUUCUGUAGAACUAUCAUCUGCGAUAUCGGUAUACGACUGCCACCAUUACAGGGUUACGCCUGGCUUAUGCCUGCUGGGUAGGUGGCGUAAAUAUAGAGCGCUACACCUUGCGUAACUUUAGCUACGUUGAAGAUCUGCAUACCGGUUUAAUGUUACACCCAGGCACAGAUUUUACUUACGCCCGGACUAGAAUUUACGUCCGACAUAUGCAUAUGGCCACAGAUAUUCAGCCAUGUUCCUUUUUUCAAUCAAAUUUUGCAUGAAACUUGCCCAUGUAUCUUAAAAAGUAUUUUAACAUUUCUUUUUCUGAUAUGCAGUACAUAACUACAAACUGUUACCUUCUAUAAUUCUCAUAAUCCCUUACUAAAAUAUUUCUACUUAUUGACCUGACAUUCUUAGUCAUGAUAAAAAUAUUUACCACCAUAGUCUAAGUGUUUUAUCAUGUGACCGGCCAUUCUACCUUUAAGGGUAAAUGGGGACACUGAUUAUCUUCUACACCAAAAACUAUACCCAUGGAUAAUUAUAUAUCCCCUUUUUGUGCAAAAACAAAUAUUUAAAGUAAAAUUCUGUCCCUUUUGUCAUUUUGAAAAUUAUGAUUGUUCAAAAGAAUGGUGCAGGAAUAAUUAGUCUAAAUCAAUUACCCCAGCCCUUAAAGGUUUUAGAAUUCAGAUAAAGCAAUGGUCGGUCUUUGUCGUUGUCUCUUGGAGUCAUCAGUGGAAUAUUCUUGACAUUAUAUUAUGAGCCAUGACAUUAUUAUAAUGUAAACAGUUUAUUAUUGGAGAUGCGUGAAAUGUUAUGGUGUUGAAGAUAUGAAUGAUUUUGCAAUAGUGAGUUUGCUUGUUAUGCAAUUUUGUUUCAAGACUAUGCCAGUACAGAACUGAAAUAUAUACUACUCAAACGAAGUUAAGAACACCCAAUUCUUUCAUGAUACUAUAGUUUAUUCACCAUGCCAAGACUGAUUUAACUAUCGUGAUGUGAAAGAAGCAGCCUUUUUUGACUUCUUUUAAGUAGUAGACGCAGCAGUUUUAGCAUGUAAAUAUGUUAUAGCAGUUAUUAAUGCUUUGUUAAGCAAGCGCAUGUUUGUUUUCACCAAAUUUAAUUAACUUUUAUGAAUAUUUAAUUAACAGAAUAUAGCACAACAAAUUUCAAAUAUAGCUUUUGGAUCUCUGUGUUUCUACACAUUUGGAGGUCAUAUACUGCUCAAAAGAAGUUAAGGUUUGUGCCAUGACCAAUUAUCUACUGUAAUAGGAUGGUCCUUAACUUCUUGAGAGCAGUAUAUGAAUAAAAUGGUACAUAAAAUAUUUAUUUUCCAUUUCAGAGCAACACUAUAAAGAUUAUUGUUUGAUAAUAUUAAACAGAUUUGAAGAAAUAAAUUUGUGUAUUAGAAAUGUUACUAUUAAUAUUUAACUAUAUUUAAAAUUGAAUAUGGUGUUUGAAUUUAUUAAAAUCCUGUGUAUAUGAAUAUUUUCAUAUAAUUAAAAGUCACAUCCUCAAUGAAAAUAGCUCCUGAAAUGCUUUUAAAUGUAUAUGCACUCAAGUAUAAGUACUGAGUAUAAUAAAAAUAGUCAUUUAGUUAGUACUAAGUUAGUACUAAGUACUAAUUAAAGAGCUGGUUAUUUUACAUUAUGUAUACUACUCAAAAAGUGUUAAGAACACUAUGUUUUCAAAUGACUGUGAACCCAAGUCAUGUGAAAUUAUCAUUUAUUCUUUUCUUAAUUUUGAGUAAUAUAUGUAUAAUGCUUAAGAUUUCAGGGACAGUAUAGUAUUUCCUUUGUCAUAUAUGUACACUGUAAUGAUUUAUUUACAAGCGAUGAUCAACCUUCUAAUAUUAUUUGAUGGUAUGAAAUUGUUGUUCCAGAAUAUACACUUAAUCAGAAUAUUCCAUGAUAAUAAGUAUUUGGGUCUCAUGUAGGGUGUAUGUACAAUGAAUCAUGCUUGAAGUCCAGAAGGAAUGUCUGUUUCCAGGAACAGGACUUAAACACCAUUCCAACUGUGCUAUGAUUAUUUGCAUGGCACUAAUGACUUCCUGGUAAAAGAAAUAGAAACCAAUUUGGUUUUCUUAUAUUUCCAGAGUCCCUGCAAUUCUGUUACGGACAUGUGUCCGGAAACACAAUUCUGUUUUCAGCCAACCAGUGCUCAGUCCAGUGCUUAAAUGAAAUACUAAAAUCAAAUUUGGUAUGUUCUAAUUAGAAGGGCAGUAUCAGAUGUUUCUAAAGUGUUCCUAGAAAUUGCUUACAGAAUAGUCAGAACAAAGAGAUUUUGAAACUUUCAGCAUGUCAUUUAUCCAUGAAGCUUUUCUUUCAUGUCAUUGGAACCUUCCAAGUGACAAAUCAGCUUCUGUUAUGUUAUGAUUAUGAAGAAAAGACUCUCCUUGGUUGAGAUAUAAUGAGAAUAUCAUUUAUAUGAAGCAGUUCUCAGUGAUUUUUGUCAAACCUUCUCAAGGUGUAGGAAAUUUGACACACCAGUGACCAAAAAUGAUGCGUUGGAAACCCCUAUUUUAACCUGUGCUGCAUGUUUCCUUGGGUUUUUUUCAAAGGUAAAUAACAUGUCUUUGCAUGUGUUUGUGACAGGUAUCUCCAUUGGGGUGGAAUGCGCUCACCUAUGUCCGAACACCUGGUGUCUUCACUCUGUUAUAGUGAUACAUACACUCAUGCUUAUGAUAAAGUUAGAAUUGUGCCGUUGACUCUGAUUUUGGCAGAAUGUUCUCAGGAUUAUGGAAAUUGACAAUGGUCUUGUCACUAUUAUUGUACUGCAUGUAUAUUGAUGACCAAGAAUAUGGGAACACCUAACAAACACAGAAACUCAUUUCAGACUAAUGCUUCCUGUUGGUGUUGUUGCCUUAUUUUUGACCAUGAUUAUAUUGUGAGUACAGGGUGCCCAUCUUGAGUAGCUAAGGUUGUAACUCCCAAGUUAGUCUUAGCUAAGGUGACGGUAACUCCCAAGUUAGUCUUAGCUUAAGGUGAUGGUAACUCCCAAGUCCCAAGUUCGUCUUAGCGGUAACUCCCAAGUUAGUCUUAGUCUUAGCGCUAAGGUGACGGUAACUCCCAAGUUAGUCUUAGAGCUAUGGUUGUUUUGUACAACGGCACCCAGUACAGUUAGUGCCAUCCUCAGCUCUGGGUGUUUUAGGGCAGGUGUCGACACCUCCAUGUGACUCACAUACUUGAACAUUAUGGCUGCUGAUUAUGUAAUCUGGUGUCAGGAUGUUCUGUGUGUGUACGAGAGGUUAAAGGUACAACAUCAUAUUUGCAUUUUGUGCCAGUCCUUUGUGAGCUUUGAAUGGUUGAAUGGAAUGUUUUGUAUGGACAUUCAACAAAUAUGUUUUAUUUAGCAAUAAACACAACCAACGUUCACUGAGGUGCACCACUCAUCAUGAGCUCAUGAUUCUUAGCACCAGUGGUACAUGUAAAUAUGUUUCUCUUUGCUUUUAUUUGAUGAAGCUAUUUUAUCUGAUAACCACAUUAAGAGGUCCCCUAAAUGAUGGAUAUCUAGCACAGGUUUUUUAAAAGACUGAAUAUAUUUUGUCAUUUGCUGUCACUAUUGUGUUGAAGUAAAACAAAAUGGCAGUCUGAUGUUGCAUCUUUAAAAUGGACAGAGUGGUAGGACCUUGUGUUUUAUCUUUCAUGUAGUCACUGACUUUCACAUAGACUGGUGGUCCAUGUACAACUAUGUCACUGAUUGAAUAAACACAUUAUUAAGCGUU
This 5052-nucleotide long non-coding RNA is filed under the name Haliotis rubra (blacklip abalone). RNAcentral's name for it is "uncharacterized LOC124283412". The record is from RNAcentral. Lineage: Eukaryota; Metazoa; Mollusca; Gastropoda; Lepetellida; Haliotidae.